Molecule: ribosomal RNA, 1297 nt
Filed under: metagenome
Description: bacterial LSU rRNA
Rfam family: Bacterial large subunit ribosomal RNA
Source: RNAcentral
UACACGACCGUACCGCAAACCGACACUGGUGCGCGAGAUGAGUAUUCUAAGGCGCUUGAGAGAACUCAGGAGAAGGAACUCGGCAAAUUGACACCGUAACUUCGGAAGAAGGUGUGCCUUUAGUAGGUGAACCUGUACAAGGGGAGCCCAAUGAGGUUGCAAAAAAUCGGUGGCUGCGACUGUUUAAUAAAAACACAGCACUCUGCAAACACGAAAGUGGACGUAUACGGUGUGACGCCUGCCCGGUGCUGGAAGAUUAAAUGAUGGGGUGCAAGCUCUGAUUGAAGUCCCAGUAAACGGCGGCCGUAACAAUAACGGUCCUAAGGUAGCGAAAUUCCUUGUCGGGUAAGUUCCGACCUGCACGAAUGGCGUAACGAUGGCCACACUGCCUCCUCCUGAGACUCAGCGAAGUUGAAAUGUUUGUGAUGAUGCAAUCUCCCCGCGGAAAGACGGAAAGACCCCAUGAACCUUUACUGUAGCUUUGUAUUGGACUUUGAACAGAUCUGUGUAGGAUAGGUGGGAGGCUUUGAAGUGUGGUCGCUAGAUCGCAUGGAGCCAACGUUGAAAUACCACCCUGGUGUGUUUGAGGUUCUAACCUAGGCCCGUAAUCCGGGUCGGGGACAGUGCAUGGUAGGCAGUUUGACUGGGGCGGUCUCCUCCCAAAGCGUAACGGAGGAGUUCGAAGGUACGCUAGGUACGGUCGGACAUCGUGCUAAUAGUGCAAUGGCAUAAGCGUGCUUAACUGCGAGACUGACAAGUCGAGCAGAUGCGAAAGCAGGACAUAGUGAUCCGGUGGUUCUGUAUGGAAGGGCCAUCGCUCAACGGAUAAAAGGUACUCUGGGGAUAACAGGCUGAUACCGCCCAAGAGUUCAUAUCGACGGCGGUGUUUGGCACCUCGAUGUCGGCUCAUCUCAUCCUGGGGCUGUAGCCGGUCCCAAGGGUAUGGCUGUUCGCCAUUUAAAGAGGUACGUGAGCUGGGUUUAAAACGUCGUGAGACAGUUUGGUCCCUAUCUUCCGUGGGCGCUGCAGAUUUGAGGAAGCCUGCUCCUAGUACGAGAGGACCGGAGUGGACACACCUCUGGUGUAUCGGUUGUCACGCCAGUGGCAUUGCCGAGUAGCUAUGUGUGGAAGAGAUAACCGCUGAAAGCAUCUAAGCGGGAAACUCGUUUCAAGAUGAGAUCUGCCGGGGCCUUGAGCCCCCUAAAGAGUCGUUCAAGACCAGGACGUUGAUAGGUCGGGUGUGGAAGCGCAGUAAUGCGUUAAGCUAACCGAUACUAAUUGCUCGUGCGGCUUGAUC